RNAcentral lists this long non-coding RNA (420 nucleotides) under Homo sapiens (human). RNAcentral's name for it is "HSALNT0009685". The record is from RNAcentral. Lineage: Eukaryota; Metazoa; Chordata; Mammalia; Primates; Hominidae.
GUUGUUCUAGUGGUAUAUGAAGGAGGCUGGGAUAACUAGCUUGAAAGAAAUUCAGUCUAGUUAUAGACAUCUUUGGCAUUAAUCUGAUGUUUACUAGUGAUAUCUCAUGCUAGGCAGUUAUGCUUUGCUUCUAGGGGCUUCUCUUUUUAAAACAAAAGAAAGCUCUUUUCGUUUUCUGUGUGCUGCAUGCUCCAGUGUGUGUGUUUACACCAUCGGUUCUUCUCCCUCUAGAGAUUAGCAUAACUCCCUUUGCUGUUGGAUUGUUAUUUUGAGCAAUAUGUUUUGGAAAGGUUGGUUUUCAUCAUGAGUGCACGCAAAUCAUCAGAUGCAUCUGCUUGCUCCUCUUCAGAAAUAUCUGUGAAAGAGUUUCUAGCCAAAGCCAAAGAAGACUUUUUGAAAAAAUGGGAGAAUCCAACUCAG